Triticum urartu is the source of this 903-nucleotide non-coding RNA. The record is from RefSeq and is a predicted model, not a curated record. Lineage: Eukaryota; Viridiplantae; Streptophyta; Magnoliopsida; Poales; Poaceae.
CACGGUGACAUUUCUUAGAGGAUCCGGUUCCGGCGGCGAGCGGCCGAUCAGUAUGGGUGGCUUCGGUGCCGGCAGCAGGGCGGAGAAGAGUGGACGUAGCGUAGCGGCGGCCUCUCGGCUGUGUGCGGUGGGGUGAGGCCCUCGUCUCCGUGCGGCUCGGCGGCUGGCCUGGUGCCCUCGUCGGCCGGCGGCAUCUAGCGUCUGCGGCAGACCAAGACGGUAUGCUCGGCCAGUCCAGCCAUGAGCUGUGACUCCACAUGGCCACAAGUCCACGGCUGGCCUCCUCACCGUCUUGCAUCAUCAACAUACAUGUCACACUGGUGUUUUGAGGCUGGCCAUUGAUUUGGCUUUGCUGAAGUCUGCUUGUCAGGGUGGUUAAGAACUUUGAGGUGAGGUGGCUCUUAUCAGCAAGUUCCUCGGCAAGUUCACAUCAACAGUUAGGCUAAGCUGUGGGAGCUAUGGUUGGUAUCAAUUGGUCUUGCUAGUUUUAAUUAGUUGGCCAUUGACAUGGUUGGGGAAGCUUCCAGAUGAGGUCCUUCUCAGAUCUCUACUAGUGUUGUUGCCUUGUAGGCAGGGGGUGAAACAGGGUGUGUUUACCAUUUCAGAAUCACUACUUGCUUCAUAUCUUCCCCUCCGUUGACCAUAUGCUGAUAUGAAGAAAGGCAGUGCUAACAAAAGCGAUAUGAUCAUAUGAAGUUGGCUUUUUUUUUGCGAAUAUUGGCUUUGACACCAUUAUGUUGUUUCCGUAAAAUUCUUUUAUCAGUGUAUACUAGUAUACCAUGUGUCUUUUUUUUGCAAGGGAGGUAUACCAUGUGUUUACCAGAAUUAUCUUUGACUUGAAUUGUAUAUACAAUUAGCUUCACAUGUAAUUAAUAGUUACUCCUAUAUACAACGAUUGUGUAC